This 246-nucleotide ribosomal RNA is filed under the name uncultured bacterium. RNAcentral's name for it is "partial small subunit ribosomal RNA". It matches the Rfam family "Bacterial small subunit ribosomal RNA", at positions 26 to 285 of the family's 1533-position model. The record is from RNAcentral.
AGAAUCAACGCUGGCGGCGUGCCUAACACAUGCAAGUCGAACGAGAAAGUGGAGCAAUCCAUGAGUAAAGUGGCGACCGGGUGAGUAACACGUGACUAACCUACCUUCGAGGUGGGGGAUAACCUCGGGAAACCGAGGCUAAUACCGCAUAACAUCGCAAGAUCAAAGCAGCAAUGCGCUGGAAGGAGGGGGUCGCGGCUGAUUAGCUAGUUGGCGGGGUAACGCCCACCAAGGCGAAGAUCGGUA